This 1915-nucleotide long non-coding RNA is filed under the name Gopherus agassizii (Agassiz's desert tortoise). RNAcentral describes it as "lncRNA (ENSGAGG00000005114.1)". The record is from RNAcentral. Lineage: Eukaryota; Metazoa; Chordata; Testudines; Testudinidae.
AUGCACCUCUCCUUUCCGUGCUUUAUAGCUGUAAAUAAUCCUGACUUUCGAGUGCUGGAAACUCUGGGUCCCAUCUCCCCAAGGUCCUUCAGCGUGUGCGUUAUCCGCCUGUCUGCCUGCCUCAUCUCCGCAGGCGGGCGGAUAGGUACGAAUGGACGCAUAUGGAGAAGGCUAGUCAGAGGGGUUCCCAUGGGGUGGAUGGAUAGGAAUAGAUACAUAUGGGGGUGGCACGGCAGAGGUGUAUGGGGAUUGAUGGCUGGGUCUUGAUGAGUAGCACAGGUAAAGAGUUAUUUGGGAUUUCUUUAAAUAUAUUGAGAGUUUCUCCUUUUCUCUUCCCCUGUUGGCUGCUAUUUCACCGGUUCUCAAGUGAGCCUAGGGGUUUAUGGGGCGGGGACUAGGUGGGGUUCUCAACCACAGGUCACGCUUUGCGGGCCGCAUAUCCGGCCCCCGGUGAUAAAUGCAUUGAGACCCACGGUUCUGUUUGACAUGCCUGCUGGCUGGCUGGCUUCUAGGCAGUCCAAGAUGGUCAGCCGAUAUGAACCAAAAGCCGACAUCACGGAGCUCCCCACCCAUCAGCGAGGCCCGUCUUACAACGCGGAUGAAUUCUGGAGCGGGCGUAGCCAGCGGCCAAGCCCGCACUGGAUGGAAGAAUACAGGGAAACCUCACCCCUGCUGGCACCAUUAAAAAUAAUACCUGACUGUGUAGCUGUCAGUCUGAGAAGUGAUGCAGACGCUAACACUGAUCUGCGCAACGGACCUUCACUCAGGCUCCCGAUUCUUCUCCACUCUUUGCUGCUUUCUCUCUCCAGCCACCCCCCACUCCCAGAAAGGACGUCCAUCUCCCCCACCGUCCCACUCAUCAGUCAGUGCGGUAACCGCAUUCGCACACGACGUGCCCCGCGAUUAACGAUGUGAAGUUAUACAUAUGGUAAUCGCUUUCCAUCAUUUGGGUGGGCAAAGAUUCCCCCCCCACGCCCUGUUCCUUCUGAAGAACGUCCGCUUGGUGAUGCCGGGCACCGUGAUGGUUUUGGGGAUCUCUGGAUUUGUGGGUGGCGGAGGGGGACAGGAAGGAUUGGCAGAAAAGGUGCAAUUGGAAAGAGUUUGCUGGAGCUUUUUGGGGUGCGUGUGUGUAUGCUCCAGCCCAGAAGAUCAUUUUUAUUUCUAGUACUGUACCAACUAUGGACCCCUCAACUGAGAUCGGGGUCCCCCAUUGUGAGAUCCCGGUCCCAUUGUGUUGGGCAGUAUGCAAACACCCGGCCUCAAAAAGUUUACAGUCUAAAUGACAGUCAAAGUGACUGAUAAUCUUUCAACAGUGUCUUCAAUAGUAGCCUGUGCAUAUGAUUUCCACCCGGUUUAACGACAUGGGAAGACUCGGUGUUAUUCUGUUGCUAAGGCCUUGUCCACACCGGCACGUGUCUGCUUGCUCGGUGACGCAUGCAGUGGUCUCAGCGCAUCUUUCCAGGUGACCACGCCUGCUCCGUGCGCCAGGCGAUCCCCCGCUUGGAGCAAUGCUGAGCUGCCGGACCUCAUUGGCAUUUGGGGAGAGGAGGCUGUCCAGUCCCAGCUGCGCUCCCGCCGUAGGAAUUAUAACAACCACGGACAGGUUUCACGGUGGAUACAGAACGGGGCCAUGACCGGGACACACAGCCGCGCAGGGUNAGCGCAGGGUCAAAGUGAAGGCGCCGCGGAACGCCGACCACGAGGCACGGGAGGCCAACCGCCGCUCCGGUGCUGCGCCCACAAGCUGCCGGUUCUACAAAGAGCUGGACGUGCUACUCAGCGGCGACCCCACCUCCACUGUGAAAGACUUCGGUGGCUCCCGUGCCAGUCCAGAGUGGACCGAACUAGGAGGAGGAAAUCUCGGACAAGGAUACGGAGGAGGACCCAGAGGCAGAGGAUGAGUCGGAGGUCAGAG